Molecule: microRNA, 21 nt
Filed under: Hevea brasiliensis (rubber tree)
Lineage: Eukaryota; Viridiplantae; Streptophyta; Magnoliopsida; Malpighiales; Euphorbiaceae
Description: hbr-miR6171
Source: miRBase by way of RNAcentral
AUGUGGAUUGCUGAAGGCUUU